RNAcentral lists this ribosomal RNA (297 nucleotides) under uncultured bacterium. RNAcentral describes it as "partial 16S ribosomal RNA". It matches the Rfam family "Bacterial small subunit ribosomal RNA", at positions 29 to 353 of the family's 1533-position model. The record is from RNAcentral.
AACGAACGCUGGCGGCAUGCCUAACACAUGCAAGUCGAACGAGACCUUCGGGUCUAGUGGCGCACGGGUGCGUAACGCGUGGGAAUCUGCCCUUAGGUACGGAAUAACUCAGAGAAAUUUGUGCUAAUACCGUAUGAUGUCGAAAGACCAAAGAUUUAUCGCCUAAGGAUGAGCCCGCGUAAGAUUAGCUUGUUGGUGAGGUAAAAGCUCACCAAGGCGACGAUCUUUAGCUGGUCUGAGAGGAUGAUCAGCCACACUGGGACUGAGACACGGCCCAGACUCCUACGGGAGGCAGCA